AGCCGAAGUCGGACGCUCAACCAACUGAACCACUCAGGCGCCCCGACAUUUACUGUUGAUAAUCAGCGUCGGUAAACGAAGGAGUCCUGUUUUGUGUGCAUGUUUCUAAGCUCGCAUGAAUGUGGUCAUGCUUUGUCUCAUCCGGCUCCUGUGUUUUUCCCUCCCUGUACUGUUCUCUCACAGCCUCAUUUCAAUCUGAUCCUUCCUUCCGCUGAUGCCGGACAGCAGGCCUGUCCCGGGUCUUGCUGUACUGAACUGGGCCGCAGCGGAGGUUCCUGUACGAGGCUCCACGGGCCCAGGGCUGGAGUUUCCCGGCGGGGACACCAGGUCAUGGAGCUGCUGCGGCAAAGGGGUCCCCUAAUGCGAGCUGGGCUCAGCUGGGAGUGGCCGUGUCUCUCAUCCUCCUUCCAGGACCCACAGGCCAGUCAGAUUCCCUCAUCGUACCAAUGGGAAAACUGAGGCCCAGACCCGGGACGGGACUAGCCCGGCGUCACACCUGAGUGGCGCGCCCUGUCCUAGCCCUUCCCCUGACACUGAAGGCCCCCACCUGACCGUGCCGGCCGCCACAGCUGAGACCCUGCAGGCGGACGUACCGACAAAGGGCUGUGAGCGUUUUACCCUGCGGCAGGUUCUCCAGGAGCCGCCUAGAUCCACAGCGUUUACAUCAGAUGAAGUGAGCAAUUGACGUUGAAGCGUGAGGGAAAGGAUGCAAACAAAACCCAAAACCAUGGGUUUGCCCAUCGUCUGUUACUUUGUUACCUUUUAUGUUGUAUGUAAUUAGCAGAUAGAAUUCUGUGGCGGAUUUCGUUAGCGGCCUCAUCAGGUGACCACUUUCAGGUGGGGAGUAUCGACUGAAAGCAAACACACCGUGUAUAAGGAGCAGGGAAAUGGAAUCUGAAAGACCCAUUGCUUCCCUGCGCUGAGGCAGAAUCUCCCCAGGGCAGCGGCGCUCCGUCAGCGCCCUCCUGCAAGGAGCAGGGCCAGGUGGGAGGCAGCAGUAGCCGGGGAGCCUGGGGGACAGGGCCCAGACAGCCCUGCCUUUGCCUCUCACCACCCAGGUGACCUAGACCUUGGGUAAGUCACGUUGUCUCUCUGAGCCUCAGUUUCUCUGUCUGUAGAAUGGGGCUUAUCAUCUGACCUCCUCCAGCGCUUUGCUGUGUGGGCUUCAUGAACUCCUGUACAGAAAACCCCCAGCGUGGGGGGAGCAAAUAUUUGGUGCUCAAAAAGGUGAACGUUCCUUCCUUCCUCUCUCGCUGGGUGGUCCCAGGCAGUCACCCUCGCCCUCUGAGGGGCCACAACAUAUACCUUCUGGGACUCUCUUCACAGCUGUCCCCUCUGCCGCCUGCCCCGUGAGCAAAUCGGUGAUCAGUCCCGGGUUACAAACCUGAGUGCGACAGGCCAGGUGGGGACUGUGACCUGAGCGAUGACCUCAGCCACUGGCUCCAGCUGCCAUAAAGGCCAGUGGAGGCAUUUCUUGGGGUUUUCUAGAGAUUUCCCAAAUCCAUGUUGUGGGGUUUGGGAAUAAAACCUUCCAAUUUAUAAA
Suricata suricatta (meerkat) is the source of this 1543-nucleotide long non-coding RNA. RefSeq lists it as uncharacterized. The transcript has 3 exons. The record is from RefSeq and is a predicted model, not a curated record. Lineage: Eukaryota; Metazoa; Chordata; Mammalia; Carnivora; Herpestidae.